This is an RNA transcript of Chelonia mydas (Green sea turtle), 979 nucleotides long. RefSeq lists it as uncharacterized. The record is from RefSeq and is a predicted model, not a curated record. Lineage: Eukaryota; Metazoa; Chordata; Testudines; Cheloniidae. The transcript has 4 exons.
CCGGUGCAGCGACAGGAAAACCUCCCUCUCGGCACCGCCGCCCCAGCCGCCCAACCCCGGCCCCCCCGCUGGCCCUGGCGGCGGGGCCGGCCCGGCCGGAGCCCCGCGCUGGCCGCUCACCUGGGCGGAUUUCCUGCAGGGUCCGGACUGCAGGAAGCGGGCGAUCAGAUAUCCCGGCCCCAGGCAGCCGCCGACCAGGGUGCAGCGCCGCCGCCCACCACUCGGGGGCGGCCGCCCAGGCAGGGGAAAGCCCAAGCGGAAGGAAGGACGGACGGACUCGGAGGACGUGCCUGGACAGAGACGCUCUGAACUGCUUAGGGGCCCCAGCCAUAGAGCAGGACUCCACUGUGCUAGAUGCUGUACAAAGACAGAACAAAGAGAUGGUCCCUGCCCUGAUAAGGUUACAAAUCAAGUAUAAGAACAGAGACAAAAGCCCUCUCUUUACUGGGAAAGCACCACCUUAAAAGAGGUUCCAGGAGCAGCCAAUGACUCGGGAUUUCUUGGUAGCACAACUCUUAUGGAGCCAUGCUGUCAGGGACACAGGAUCUCUACACAAAAAGCCAUGGCCUGCUAUGGAUCCCAGACAUCAAUGUCAAUCCCUGGCUUCUGGGGACAAAACUACUGGCCAUUCUGCAACAUUGGUGUGUGAUAUAUCUGUUCCCAGAAGAGAAUGAUCCUGCACAAGGGAAUCCUGAUGGAGUUUUUCGUUUCUAGGCCUUCUCCUGCAGCUCUUUCCAUGGGAGGAGGGCCAAUGUCAUUUUACUAAUUUUUCCUGAAUGAAUGGGAAGCCCAAAGAUGGCAACAUCAGGUGAUUAAUACAUCAUGUGAUUUUUUUCAACUCUACUUAUUUAAUAAGGAUAUAUUUAAGAGGAUGAAAGCUAUUCUUAUAAUUAUAAACAAAAAGCUGUUAAAAGAAUGUUAAUGUUGAUGAAAAGUUAAAAUUGGACAGUGCCGGAAUUACAGUAGCCUCUGAAACCUA